This 403-nucleotide ribosomal RNA is filed under the name uncultured bacterium. RNAcentral describes it as "bacterial SSU rRNA". It matches the Rfam family "Bacterial small subunit ribosomal RNA", at positions 362 to 758 of the family's 1533-position model. The record is from RNAcentral.
UUUUGGACAAUGGGCGCAAGCCUGAUCCAGCCAUGCCGCGUGAGUGAAGAAGGCCUUCGGGUUGUGAAGCUCUUUCGGCGGGGACGAAACGGUUCGUGCUAAUACCACGGACUACUGACGGUACCCGCAGAAGAAGCACCGGCUAACUACGUGCCAGCAGCCGCGGUAAUACGUAGGGUGCAGGCGUUAAUCGGAAUUACUGGGCGUAAAGCGUGCGCAGGCGGUUUGUUAAGACAGGUGUGAAAUCCCCGGGCUUAACCUGGGAAUUGCGCUUGUAACUGGCAGACUGGAGUGUGGCAGAGGGGGGUGGAAUUCCAAGUGUAGCAGUGAAAUGCGUAGAUAUUUGGAGGAACACCAGUGGCGAAGGCGGCUCACUGGCCCGAUACUGACGCUGAGCACGAAU